Molecule: ribosomal RNA, 500 nt
Filed under: uncultured bacterium
Lineage: Bacteria
Description: bacterial SSU rRNA
Rfam family: Bacterial small subunit ribosomal RNA
Source: RNAcentral
CUACGGGAGGCAGCAGUGGGGAAUUUUGGACAAUGGGGGCAACCCUGAUCCAGCAAUGCCGCGUGUGUGAAGAAGGCCUUCGGGUUGUAAAGCACUUUUGUCCGGAAAGAAAUCCUCUGCCCUAAUAUGGCGGGGGGAUGACGGUACCGGAAGAAUAAGCACCGGCUAACUACGUGCCAGCAGCCGCGGUAAUACGUAGGGUGCAAGCGUUAAUCGGAAUUACUGGGCGUAAAGCGUGCGCAGGCGGUUCGCUAAGACAGAUGUGAAAUCCCCGGGCUUAACCUGGGAACUGCAUUUGUGACUGGCGGGCUAGAGUAUGGCAGAGGGGGGUAGAAUUCCACGUGUAGCAGUGAAAUGCGUAGAGAUGUGGAGGAAUACCGAUGGCGAAGGCAGCCCCCUGGGCCAAUACUGACGCUCAUGCACGAAAGCGUGGGGAGCAAACAGGAUUAGAUACCCUGGUAGUCCACGCCCUAAACGAUGUGAACUAGUUGUCGGGUCUU